AUCUUCGGGGGUAGAGCACUGUUUCGGCUAGGGGGUCAUCCCGACUUACCAACCCGAUGCAAACUACGAAUACCGAAGAAUGUUAUCACGGGAGACACACGGCGGGUGCUAACGUCCGUCGUGAAGAGGGAAACAACCCAGACCGCCAGCUAAGGUCCCAAAGUCAUGGUUAAGUGGGAAACGAUGUGGGAAGGCACAGACAGCCAGGAUGUUGGCUUAGAAGCAGCCAUCAUUUAAAGAAAGCGUAAUAGCUCACUGGUCGAGUCGGCCUGCGCGGAAGAUGUAACGGGGCUAAACCAUGCACCGAAGCUGCGGCAGCGACACUAUGUGUUGUUGGGUAGGGGAGCGUUCUGUAAGCCUGCGAAGGUGACCUGUGAGGGUUGCUGGAGGUAUCAGAAGUGCGAAUGCUGACAUAAGUAACGAUAAAGCGGGUGAAAAGCCCGCUCGCCGGAAGACCAAGGGUUCCUGUCCAACGUUAAUCGGGGCAGGGUGAGUCGACCCCUAAGGCGAGGCCGAAAGGCGUAGUCGAUGGGAAACAGGUUAAUAUUCCUGUACUUGGUGUUACUGCGAAGGGGGGACGGAGAAGGCUAUGUUAGCCGGGCGACGGUUGUCCCGGUUUAAGCAUGUAGGCUGAUUGUCCAGGCAAAUCCGGAUAAUCAAGGCUGAGGUGUGAUGACGAGGCACUACGGUGCUGAAGUAACAAAUGCCCUGCUUCCAGGAAAAGCCUCUAAGCAUCAGGUAACAUCAAAUCGUACCCCAAACCGACACAGGUGGUCAGGUAGAGAAUACCAAGGCGCUUGAGAGAACUCGGGUGAAGGAACUAGGCAAAAUGGUGCCGUAACUUCGGGAGAAGGCACGCUGGUGUGUAGGUGAAGUCCCUGCGGAUGGAGCUGAGACCAGUCGAAGAUACCAGCUGGCUGCAACUGUUUAUUAAAAACACAGCACUGUGCAAACACGAAAGUGGACGUAUACGGUGUGACGCCUGCCCGGUGCCGGAAGGUUAAUUGAUGGGGUUAUCCGUAAGGAGAAGCUCUUGAUCGAAGCCCCGGUAAACGGCGGCCGUAACUAUAACGGUCCUAAGGUAGCGAAAUUCCUUGUCGGGUAAGUUCCGACCUGCACGAAUGGCGUAAUGAUGGCCAGGCUGUCUCCACCCGAGACUCAGUGAAAUUGAACUCGCUGUGAAGAUGCAGUGUACCCGCGGCAAGACGGAAAGACCCCGUGAACCUUUACUAUAGCUUGACACUGAACAUUGAGCCUUGAUGUGUAGGAUAGGUGGGAGGCUUUGAAGCGUGGACGCCAGUCUGCGUGGAGCCAACCUUGAAAUACCACCCUUUAAUGUUUGAUGUUCUAACGUUGGCCCCUGACCGGGGUUGCGGACAGUGUCUGGUGGGUAGUUUGACUGGGGCGGUCUCCUCCCAAAGCGUAACGGAGGAGCACGAAGGUUAGCUAAUCCUGGUCGGACAUCAGGAGGUUAGUGCAAUGGCAUAAGCUAGCUUGACUGCGAGCGUGACGGCGCGAGCAGGUGCGAAAGCAGGUCAUAGUGAUCCGGUGGUUCUGAAUGGAAGGGCCAUCGCUCAACGGAUAAAAGGUACUCCGGGGAUAACAGGCUGAUACCGCCCAAGAGUUCAUAUCGACGGCGGUGUUUGGCACCUCGAUGUCGGCUCAUCACAUCCUGGGGCUGAAGUAGGUCCCAAGG
This 1696-nucleotide ribosomal RNA is filed under the name human gut metagenome. RNAcentral describes it as "bacterial LSU rRNA". It matches the Rfam family "Bacterial large subunit ribosomal RNA", at positions 892 to 2570 of the family's 2925-position model. The record is from RNAcentral.